GAUGAACGCUAGCGGCAGGCUUAAUACAUGCAAGUUGAGGGGCAGCAUGAUAUACGCGAGUAUAUUGAUGGCGACCGGCGGACGGGUGAGUAAUAGGUAGGAGACCUACCUCAUACAGGGGGAUAGCAUAGAGAAAUCUGUGGUAAUACCCCAUGAGGUUAUAUGAAUAGAGGCAUAUAAUCAAAGCAUAAGCGAUUAUGCGGUAUGAGAGGGGCCUACUGACCAUUAGCUAGUUGGUGAGGUAAGGGCUCACCAAGGCGAAGAUGGUUAGGGGUUUUGAGAGAGAGACCCCCCACAUUGGAACUGAGAGACGGUCCAGACUCCUACGGGAGGCAGCAGUAGGGAAUAUUGGGCAAAUGGGCGAAAGCCUGACCCAGCCAUGCCGCGUGAAGGAAGACGGCCUUAUGGGUUGUAAACUUCUUUACUACGCGAAUAGAGGUUAGUACGAGAUACGUAAUAGGGAAGGUAGUAGUAGUAAAAAGCACCGGGCUAAACUCCCGU
RNAcentral lists this ribosomal RNA (501 nucleotides) under uncultured bacterium. RNAcentral describes it as "bacterial SSU rRNA". It matches the Rfam family "Bacterial small subunit ribosomal RNA", at positions 28 to 508 of the family's 1533-position model. The record is from RNAcentral.